Molecule: transfer RNA, 69 nt
Filed under: Triturus cristatus (warty newt)
Lineage: Eukaryota; Metazoa; Chordata; Amphibia; Caudata; Salamandridae
Description: tRNA-Arg
Rfam family: tRNA
About the family: Transfer RNA (tRNA) molecules are approximately 80 nucleotides in length. Their secondary structure includes four short double-helical elements and three loops (D, anti-codon, and T loops). Further hydrogen bonds mediate the characteristic L-shaped molecular structure. tRNAs have two regions of fundamental functional importance: the anti-codon, which is responsible for specific mRNA codon recognition, and the 3' end, to which the tRNAs corresponding amino acid is attached (by aminoacyl-tRNA synthetases). tRNAs cope with the degeneracy of the genetic code in two manners: having more than one tRNA (with a specific anti-codon) for a particular amino acid; and 'wobble' base-pairing, i.e. permitting non-standard base-pairing at the 3rd anti-codon position.
Source: RNAcentral
AAGUAUUUAAUCUAAAUAAGAAUAUUGAUUUCGACUCAGUAAAUUUUGGUUAAACCCCAAAAAUACUUU